Molecule: non-coding RNA, 393 nt
Organism: Sesamum indicum (sesame)
Lineage: Eukaryota; Viridiplantae; Streptophyta; Magnoliopsida; Lamiales; Pedaliaceae
Source: RefSeq, a predicted model, not a curated record
ACUAUAAAUAUCUCGGCAAACCCUAGGGUUUUGUAUGUCGUUGCCUUCCAACCAACCGUGACUCCUUUUCUUCUAGGGUUCUCAAAGGGAGGCGCCCGCGGUUUCGUCACUGUUUCUCUUUCACCAUGAGAGCCAAGUGGAAGAAGAAGCGUAUGAGAAGAUUGAAGAGGAAGCGCCGAAAGAUGAGGCAGAGAUCCAAGUAGAGCUCCGCACUUUUUGCUGUUUCCUGAUCGGUGCUUCGGGGUUUUCCUAGGGUUGCUUUUCUAUUUGAUUUUAUUUACCGUUUACGUGGAUUUUAAUAUGUAAUAGUAUGUUUUUACUCUUCGGUACUGCGUUGAGUAAUCAACUAUUUAAUCGAAUGAGAUUCCUUUGGAGAAUUUUCUAGGGCUUCUA